GGGCUCACACAAGCGGUGGAGGAUGUGGCUUAAUUCGAGGCUACGCGAAGAACCUUAUCCUGGUCUUGACAUGUUUGAGAAUCCUCCCGAAAGGGAGGGGUGCCCUCGGGGAGCUCUUACACAGGUGCUGCAUGGCUGUCGUCAGCUCGUGUCGUGAGAUGUCGGGUUAAGUCCCUUAACGAGCGAAACCCUUGUCCCCUAGUUGCCAGCGAGUUAUGUCGGGGACUCUAGGAGACUGCCGGUGUUAAAACCGGAGGAAGGUGGGAUGACGUCAAGUCUCAUGGCCUUUAUGACCAGGGCUGCACACGUCCCUACAAUGGCGCGUACAAAGGGAAGCGAACUCGCGAGAGCAAGCA
RNAcentral lists this ribosomal RNA (356 nucleotides) under uncultured bacterium. Its description in RNAcentral is "bacterial SSU rRNA". It matches the Rfam family "Bacterial small subunit ribosomal RNA", at positions 917 to 1269 of the family's 1533-position model. The record is from RNAcentral.